RNAcentral lists this ribosomal RNA (465 nucleotides) under uncultured bacterium. RNAcentral describes it as "partial 16S ribosomal RNA". It matches the Rfam family "Bacterial small subunit ribosomal RNA", at positions 338 to 795 of the family's 1533-position model. The record is from RNAcentral.
CCUACGGGAGGCAGCAGUAGGGAAUCUUCCACAAUGGGCGAAAGCCUGAUGGAGCAACGCCGCGUGGGUGAAGAAGGUCUUCGGAUCGUAAAACCCUGUUGUUAGAGAAGAAAGUGCGUGAGAGUAACUGUUCACGUUUCGACGGUAUCUAACCAGAAAGCCACGGCUAACUACGUGCCAGCAGCCGCGGUAAUACGUAGGUGGCAAGCGUUAUCCGGAUUUAUUGGGCGUAAAGGGAACGCAGGCGGUCUUUUAAGUCUGAUGUGAAAUCCUUCGGCUUAACCGGAGUAGUGCAUUGGAAACUGGGAGACUUGAGUGCAGAAGAGGAGAGUGGAACUCCAUGUGUAGCGGUGAAAUGCGUAGAUAGAUGGAAGAACACCAGUGGCGAAAGCGGCUCUCUGGUCUGUAACUGACGCUGAGGUUCGAAAGCGUGGGUAGCAAACAGGAUUAGAUACCCCAGUAGUC